Non-coding RNA from Notechis scutatus (mainland tiger snake), 150 nucleotides. The record is from RefSeq and is a predicted model, not a curated record. Lineage: Eukaryota; Metazoa; Chordata; Lepidosauria; Squamata; Elapidae.
AAAAGAGUUUGUUGUAAUCCACCAGCAGCCUGCGGAGAGGGCAGCAGAGUUAGACAGUGGGGAGGAACAUGGGCCAGUCCGGGAGUCUGGGGAGGAAUCAGACGAGGGUUCUGCAUCUGAUACAGAGAUGGGGCCAGGGCCAUCUGGCAG